AUCGCAUCCAAAAAUCGAAUGAUUCUGAAAUUGCUAUACAGGAUGAAGUUAGAUUAUGUCGCAAAAAGACUAAAACACUCCUGAUCAAUUUUUUUUUUUUUUUGGUUCCCGAUGAACCUGUUCGUCUCUAGAAUUCGACCUUGGUGUCUGAAAUAAUUGAUAAGAAGCCAAUCCAGAAUGUGGUUCAGCAAAGCCCUGGUUGGAUUUUUCCUGGAUUAGAACCCAACUUGACUUCAAAUCUUCUAGUUCGAUGGCUAGCUCCUAAGGGACAAACUUGAAGAGAUUCUUACACCAUACAAAUUGCUGUUCCUGGUUUGGAUAACGGGAAAGAGAUAGAGCUUCAACUGGUGAAGUUCAUGAAUUUACUUUCCAAGCAUUGGAUGAGUCUGGAAAUCCUCGUUGCUUAAGUGGGGAUGACCCUAGAAGACCCAGAACUCAGAAAUGGCAGGUCCGGCGUACGAUUUUCUGGUUAACCCUCUCGGUGCCGUGAGAAAAACAUUCGAGAAGGCGAUCGCGUCAGGGUCCGACCCUUCCUCGUUGAGCAAGGUGGUCUCUCUCAGGUUCAUCCAAAUUUCGAGGGUCUGUACAAUCUGACCAUCAUUCUGCUUUACAAGCACUUCGAAGGUCUCAAAUUCACCCCUUGGAAAUUUGUAUACGAUCGAGUGCUUCAAAACAUCCCAGUCAGGUUCAUCGCAAGCAGUGUUGAUUUACGAGAAUUUCAGACUUGUAAAGCUUCUGACUCGACCAGGGAUGUUUGGUGUAGAAGAUGGACCAGGCUUGGAGAAAACGAUGAUUGUGAAAUAAGUGAUGAUGGUAGAUUUCGAUGCUUAGAUCCAGAAAUUUCCAUGUAAAUCUCCCUCGUAUGAUGGUUCUUUGGGGAUUCUAGAGAGUAAUGGAUGGGUGCAUUCCGCUCAUUGUUCAUGAGAAUUGUUCUCAGUUGAUCCUCCGGGUCGGCGACUGUCGGGUGGAUUUUUUUUUUUUUAAUAUCAAGGAUAGUUUAAUAUUUUCAUAAUAUAAUAUA
This is an RNA transcript of Prosopis cineraria, 1021 nucleotides long. RefSeq lists it as uncharacterized. The transcript is spliced from 2 exons. Lineage: Eukaryota; Viridiplantae; Streptophyta; Magnoliopsida; Fabales; Fabaceae. The record is from RefSeq and is a predicted model, not a curated record.